CAAGUCGUGGGGCAGCGCAGUGUAUCAAUACAUGGGCGGCGACCGGCAAACGGGUGCGUAACACGUACGCAACCUUCCCGUUACUGGUGAAUAGCCCAGGGAAACUUGGAUUAAUACACCAUAUUAUAUCGACUAGGCAUCUGGUUGAUAUCAAAGCUUCGGCGGUAACGGAUGGGCGUGCGGUUGAUUAGGUAGUUGGCGGGGUAACGGCCCACCAAGCCUACGAUCAAUAGCUGAUGUGAGAGCAUGAUCAGCCACACGGGCACUGAGACACGGGCCCGACUCCUACGGGAGGCAGCAGUAAGGAAUAUUGGGCAAUGGACGAAAGUCUGACCCAGCCAUGCCGCGUGGAGGAUGAAGGUCCUCUGGAUUGUAAACUUCUUUUUUCUGGGGCGAAAACCGGUCAUUCUUGACCAUUUGACAGUACCAGAAGAAUAAGCACCGGCUAACUCCGUGCCAGCAGCCGCGGUAAUACGGAGGGUGCAAGCGUUAUCCGGAUUCACUGGGUUUAAAGGGUGCGUAGGUGGGCAGGUAAGUCCGCGGUGAAAUCCCCGAGCUUAACUUGGGAACUGUCGUUGAUACUAUCUGUCUUGAAUAUCGUGGAGGUAAGCGGAAUAUGUCAUGUAUCGGUGAAAUGCUUAGAGAUGACAUAAAACACCAAUUGCGAAGGCAGCUUGCUACACGAUAAUUGACACUGAGGCACGAAUGCGUGGGGAGCAUACAGGAUUACAUACCCUGGUAGUCCACGCCCUAAACUAUGGAUACUCGACAUCAGCGAUACACAGUUGGUGUCUGAGCGAAAGCAUUAAGUAUCCCACCUGGGAAGUACGAUCGCUAGAUUGAUACUCACAGGACUUGGCGG
This 862-nucleotide ribosomal RNA is filed under the name uncultured bacterium. RNAcentral's name for it is "bacterial SSU rRNA". It matches the Rfam family "Bacterial small subunit ribosomal RNA", at positions 58 to 916 of the family's 1533-position model. The record is from RNAcentral.